GCCAGCGUCGCAUAGGGGUAUUGCGCCGGUCUCGAAAACCGGUUCCGCAAGGAAUCGCAGGUUCAAAUCCUGCCGCUGGCG
Molecule: transfer RNA, 81 nt
Filed under: Candidatus Woesearchaeota archaeon
Lineage: Archaea; Nanobdellati; Candidatus Woesearchaeota
Description: tRNA-Ser
Rfam family: tRNA
About the family: Transfer RNA (tRNA) molecules are approximately 80 nucleotides in length. Their secondary structure includes four short double-helical elements and three loops (D, anti-codon, and T loops). Further hydrogen bonds mediate the characteristic L-shaped molecular structure. tRNAs have two regions of fundamental functional importance: the anti-codon, which is responsible for specific mRNA codon recognition, and the 3' end, to which the tRNAs corresponding amino acid is attached (by aminoacyl-tRNA synthetases). tRNAs cope with the degeneracy of the genetic code in two manners: having more than one tRNA (with a specific anti-codon) for a particular amino acid; and 'wobble' base-pairing, i.e. permitting non-standard base-pairing at the 3rd anti-codon position.
Source: RNAcentral